UGCCGUGCGAACUACUGCUGUGUUGUACAGGCAGAUGCGACCGCUUCUUCUUUUUCUUUUUGUUUUUUUUAAUGAACCGGCGACCACCGAGAUCUACACUAUCCUCUUCGUCGGCAGCGUCAGAUGUGUAUAAGAGACAGACCCACAUCCGUUGAAAAGGGUGGGGAUGAGGUGUGGAUAGGGGAGAAAUUCCAAUCGAACCCGGAGAUAGCUGGUUCUCCUCGAAAUAGCUUUAGGGCUAGCCUCGAUAGAGAUACAUGGAGGUAGAGCACUGAAUUUCCUAGGGGGCGUCAAAGCCUACCGAAGAAUAUCAAACUCCGAAUGCCAUGGAAUUGAUUAUCGGGAGUCAGACUAUACGAGAUAAGUUGGAUAGUCAAAAGGGAAAGAGCCCAGACCUCCAGCUAAGGUCCCAAAGUACGUGUUAAGUGGAAAAGGAUGUGGGAUUUCGAAGACAACCAGGAUGUUGGCUCAGAAGCAGCCAUACAUUCAAAGAGUGCGUAAUAGCUCACUGGUCGAGAGGUCCUGCGCCGAAAAUGUCCGGGGCUAAAACACGACACCGAAGCUGAGGAAUGUAGUAAUACAUUGGUAGAGGAGCAUUGAAUACGGGAAGAAGCAGUACCGAAAGGAGCUGUGGACUGUAUUGAAGAGAGAAUGCCGGAAUGAGUAGCGAGAAUAAGGUGAGAAUCCUUAUGGCCGAAUAUCUAAGGUUUCCAGGGUAAAGCUGAUCUGCCCUGGGUAAGUCGGGACCUAAGGCGAGGUCGAAAGACGUAGCCGAUGGACAACAGGUUGAGAUUCCUGUACUGCGUUAGAACAGAACUGUGGGGACACGUGUGGAAAGCACAUCCUGGGAAUGGAAUCCCGGGGCAAGCGAAGGAGGAGUCACAUAGGAAAAACCGUGUGACAAUCCAAAGGCGUGAUGCGGACCGAAUUCGAGUAGGGAAGUGUGUGAGCCAUGCGUCAAGAAAAGCCGCUAUUGUUUGUAACGUACCCGUACCGUAAACCGACACAGGUGGAUGAGGAGAGAAUCCUAAGGCCGACGGAAGAAGCAUUGCCAAGGAACUCGGCAAAAUGACCCCGUAACUUCGGGAGAAGGGGUGCCCGUGUAAAAGCGGGCCGCAGAGAAUAGGCUCAAGCAACUGUUUAGCAAAAACACAGGUCUAUGCGAAACCGAAAGGUGAGGUAUAUGGGCUGACGCCUGCCCGGUGCUGGAAGGUUAAGAGGAGAUGUCAGGAAACGAAGCAUUGAAUUUAAGCCCCAGUAAACGGCGGCCGUAACUAUAACGGUCCUAAGGUAGCGAAAUUCCUUGUCGGGUAAGUUCCGACCCGCACGAAAGGCGUAAUGAUUUGAGCGCUGUCUCGGCAAUGCAUCCGGUGAAAUUGAAGUACCAGUGAAGAUGCUGGUUACCUGCGCCAGGACGGAAAGACCCCAUGGAGCUUUACUCCAGUUUGGUACUGGGAUUCGGUAUUGCAUGUACAGGAUAGGUGGGAGACUAGGAGGUAGUGACGCCAGUUGCUACGGAGUCAAUGUUGGGAUACCACCCUUGCAGUAUUGGGU
This 1554-nucleotide ribosomal RNA is filed under the name metagenome. Its description in RNAcentral is "bacterial LSU rRNA". It matches the Rfam family "Bacterial large subunit ribosomal RNA", at positions 719 to 2219 of the family's 2925-position model. The record is from RNAcentral.